UCACCUUGAUAGAAUAAAGAAUGUGGAUGUGUUUGCGUCACCCACGGUGGAAGACCAGACAUAUCACAAAUAUAAUAUUGUAACACCCAAUCUACAAAAUAUUAUAAAAAAUUAUAAGAUAAAAAUUAAUUAAAAUUACAUAAAUAAAAAACAUUAAAUAAUAUUCAAAAAUUAAAAUUAACCCUUACCAUUAUCAUUUGUUUGACAGAGAUAUGUUUAUGAUCGAGACGAAUUAAUUUCUUGGCCAUUGCUAAUACUAUCAAAUAUUUUUAAAAGUAUAAAAAAACCAACACUAAUUUAGAAAAAAAUUAAAGGAAAUAAUUAAUUAAAGAGAGCUUUGAGAAAUUUAGGGAGAAAUUUGAGAGCUUUUUUGCCAAAUUUUGAAGAAAUAUUGUAUGAAAAAUAUAGGAGGGGUUUUAUAGUUUUUUUUUACCGUUGGACCCGCCAAUGGUCAAAAAAAUCAAAUAGCCAUUGGGAAAAAAAAAACGGAGCAAAACGCGCCACUGGGGGAGUGAUUUUGCCACGUUAGCAAAACGCUUCAAUGUCAGCGUGUUUUGUGCUGACAUGGCAAAAUCACUUCCCAAGGGUGCGUUUUGCUAAAAUUUCACCCAAAAAUGCUUUUACGUGAACGCCUUUUGUCAUUAUCGGCCUUUUCUGAUAAAUAAUGAAAAAGUUGACCUAUUUUCAUAAAUAAAAUUAAAAAUAGGCUUAAAGGUAAAUUAUUCCAAAUAACAUAAUUCCAGAUAAAAAAUAUCAUAAAUAAUUCAAAAUUUAGGCAGGGGAAUAGCAAGACGCCGGUCCCAACUUCAUACCAUUAAAUUGAUUGAAAAAAGAAGAAAAACUCCGACUUUGAACCUCUGACCAAAACCAACCAAAUGAAAAAUCUUAUUCUUUGUCGAAUAAACCAACGUUGAAAAGAUGUUUUAUUUUGGCAUGAUUUGUGCAUUUCU
This 950-nucleotide long non-coding RNA is filed under the name Gossypium barbadense (sea-island cotton). RNAcentral's name for it is "long non-coding RNA (GBAR_LNC010513)". Lineage: Eukaryota; Viridiplantae; Streptophyta; Magnoliopsida; Malvales; Malvaceae. The record is from RNAcentral.